GAGGACCGAACCGACUAAUGUUGAAAAAUUAGCGGAUGACCUGUGGCUGGGGGUGAAAGGCCAAUCAAACCGGGAGAUAGCUGGUUCUCCCCGAAAGCUAUUUAGGUAGCGCCUCGUGAACUCAUCUUCGGGGGUAGAGCACUGUUUCGGCUAGGGGGCCAUCCCGGCUUACCAACCCGAUGCAAACUACGAAUACCGAAGAAUGUUAUCACGGGAGACACACGGCGGGUGCUAACGUCCGUCGUGAA
This 248-nucleotide ribosomal RNA is filed under the name Escherichia coli. Its description in RNAcentral is "partial 23S ribosomal RNA". It matches the Rfam family "Bacterial large subunit ribosomal RNA", at positions 769 to 1014 of the family's 2925-position model. Lineage: Bacteria; Pseudomonadati; Pseudomonadota; Gammaproteobacteria; Enterobacterales; Enterobacteriaceae. The record is from RNAcentral.